RNAcentral lists this ribosomal RNA (742 nucleotides) under uncultured bacterium. RNAcentral describes it as "bacterial SSU rRNA". It matches the Rfam family "Bacterial small subunit ribosomal RNA", at positions 28 to 774 of the family's 1533-position model. The record is from RNAcentral.
GAUGAACGCUAGCUACAGGCUUAACACAUGCAAGUCGAGGGGCAUCAUGACGAUAGCUUGCUAUUGUUGAUGGCGACCGGCGCAAGGGUGCGUAACGCGUGAGCAAUCUGCCCGUGUCAGGGGGAUAAGCGAUGGAAACGUCGUCUAAUACCGCAUAACGUAGCAGUACCGCAUGAUACAGUUACCAAAGAUUUUAUCGCUGAAAGAUGGGCUCGCGUCCGAUUAGGUAGUUGGUGAGGUAACGGCCCACCAAGCCGACGAUCGGUACCCGGACUGAGAGGUUGAUUAGCCCACAUUGGGACUGAGACACGGCCCAGACUCCUUACGCGAGGCAGCAGUGGGGAAUAUGCAACAAUGGGCGCAAGCUUGAUGGCACCAACNCCGCGUGAGGGAAGACGUUUUUCGGAUGUAAAACCUCUGUCUUGGUGACGAAGAAGUGACGGUAGCCAAGGAGGAAGCCACGGCUAAAUACGUGCCAGCAGCCGCGGUAAUACGUAGGUGGCAAGCGUUAUCCGGAAUUACUGGGUGUAAAGGGAGCGCAGGCAGGUCAGCAAGUCAGCGGUGAAAUUUAUGGGCUCAACCCAUAACCUGCCGUUGAAACUGUUGAUCUUGAGUGGAGUAGAGGUAGGCGGAAUUCCGAGUGUAGCGGUGAAAUGCGUAGAUAUUCGGAGGAACACCAGUGGCGAAGGCGGCCUACUGGGCUCUAACUGACGCUGAGGCUCGAAAGUGUGGGGAGCAAACA